UCCCAGCCUCUGAGAUCCAGGGACCCAGGGCGGGAUCCUGUAUAAAGGUGGUCAUGGCUGUCUGUAUGGUAUGUGAAGACUGAGGUAGGCUUUGCAAUGUUGCCUCCUUCACCAGCAUCAUGUCUGUGUGCUUUCAUAUGCUGAUGACGCUUCACAGCUUCCCGUAGGAUUCUGAAUGGCUGCCACUCAGGGCAGUUCCCCCUACAGGCUGAGGGGUGUGGACUGGGGGACUUCUCAGCCAUUUGUCACCACACAACAUCCAGAAGCAUCUGCAUUUCCAUAGUUAUUUCCGGAACAAAACUGAUUAAAACCAUUUCCUAGGUAGGUCAGCAUCUUCCCUUGAACAGUUUUCACAAGAAAAGGCAGAGAGAAAGUCGUUGGGGCGAUGGCAUUAAAUCUGCUUGGGUGACUCAGAAUGUAUGUUGGCACGGCAACGCGCCAUGUGGCGGGCAGCAGACGUGUCUUGUUGGUGGCGGUGGCGUGUCUGAAGAGGCCUGGCUUCAGCAAGCCGUGCACAAUUUGCUUCCUUUUUGCCUUUCAUACGCAAGUGUUUGAAGCUAUCUUUUCAUUCCUUUCCACCGGGCCGUAAUCAAUAGGAAGAAAGCAUUGAAGUUUCCCCCCACCGUCGCAUUUCUCAGGGUCCUUGUUGAAAGUGUGGGCUGCGGUUCUGCACCGUGCAGUAAUGAGAAUUUGAAUUUCGUGGGGCGCGUGAAGUGUAAAUGAGAAACUGCCGGUCGCCCAGCUGUGCAGCCCGCCUGAGAAAUGUCUUUGCCGAGAAUUUACUCUGCACUCGUUCCUCUUAAUUCAUCCAUCCAUCCAUACAUUCACUAUGGAGCGCGCACUGUUGGCUGCACAAAGAGCUCGUCUUUUAAAGUGCAGCCACGGCCUGGCCGCUGUGUCUCCUUUAGAGAUGCUCCCAGCCUGCAGUGGUGACAAGCAAUGAGAUUUGGUGAGCGCAUCAAGGCAGGGGCAUCCUGGAGUCUUAGCUGAGAGGAAGGCGUGGCCCUUUAGAUCAGAGAAGCAGGCUUACAGAGAAGGGAUCCUGCUGAUGGCUAGAACUGCGGGGCAGGCCCAGGGACAAAGCCUGGACCUUAAGCCUCAGCUCCCGGGAUGCCGUCACUUUUAACUGUUCUUUUGGGGGAAAGUGAGGGGGUCUGUCUGAGCAGAGCUAAUGAAUACUAAGACUGUCAGUCCAUGUGUGGUGUCUUAUCCUUACACAGAAUUCAAAGGUCACAGUGUUCCCUCUCUCUGGACAGAAAAAAAAAAAAACGAAGCCCAGGAUGAGAAAUCGAAAGAGAACAUAGAGAAGACUGGGGCUUCCCCGGUGGGUGAUUUCAGCUUCCCCAUGGUUUCCCUGCACAUACUGGGACUUUGUCCUCCUGGCUCCUUAGGGACGUGUCCAAAGUUUAUGAUUCCAUGGGAACCUAAACUUAGUUUGCUAAACUAGUUUGCCAAGUCCUCCCCUCCUGCUAGAGUUUGAAGACAGCUAUGGUUUCUCAUUCAGCAAAGCCCUUCUGCUCAGCAUCUCGGGGAGGACUUUCAUCGCUCGCCUGACACAGCGUGGAAGGAUGCCUGCCGAAACCAUUAUGCCUGCUUUUCUUGCUGGCACCGUUAUUGAUCCUUGUCAGCAGGAGCUACAGCAGGCUCGGGAUGUUGCCUUAGGAGGUGAAACCUCAUGCCUUGUUCGGUUAUUAAGAACGACUGCUGUGUGGGUCACCUGUGCUGGCUACUUCUUCCUUCUGAAGACCUCACGGUGGAAGACAGAUUCUGUUUUGUUAACCCUUGGAGAUUCUGUGAGGUGGCCAAGUUCACUGAUACCUUUUCAAACAAAAAAAGUGA
This is a non-coding RNA of Rattus norvegicus (Norway rat), 1839 nucleotides long. NCBI's taxonomy places the organism in Eukaryota, Metazoa, Chordata, Mammalia, Rodentia, Muridae. The record is from RefSeq and is a predicted model, not a curated record.